UACAGAGGUGGCAAGCGUUGUUCGGAUUUAUUGGGCGUAAAGGGUCCGUAGGCGGCCCGGAAAGUCGGAUGUGAAAGCCCACAGCUCAACUGUGGAACUGCAUUCGAAACUUCCAGGCUAGAGUGUGAGAGGGGUGAAGGGAAUUCCCGGUGUAAGGGUGAAAUCUGCAGAGAUCGGGAGGAACACCUGUCGCGAAGGCGCUUCACUGGCUCACUACUGACGCUCAGGGACGAAAGCUAGGGGAGCAAACGGG
RNAcentral lists this ribosomal RNA (253 nucleotides) under uncultured bacterium. RNAcentral describes it as "partial 16S ribosomal RNA". It matches the Rfam family "Bacterial small subunit ribosomal RNA", at positions 524 to 776 of the family's 1533-position model. The record is from RNAcentral.